CCAAUUUCUUUAUUACUCUCUCAACUUUUACUACCUAUAAAUCUUACCCCUACUCUUUCUUCUUUCUGCUGGUGCUGAUAUUUAGCUUGACCAAUACAGAACCCUAAUCAUCCGCUUCUAUCAUUUUCUUCUUUGCUUAAUCAAAUUUCAUCUCUGAUUUGAUCGAAUAUACAAUAGCAGCAGCAGCAGCAAAAAAUGGAUGAAGAAUAUGAUGUGAUUGUGCUCGGCACAGGUCUAAAGGAAUGCAUCCUUAGCGGUCUUCUAUCCGUCGAUGGUCUUAAGGUUCUGCACAUGGACAGAAAUGACUACUAUGGAGGAGAGUCAACUUCCCUCAAUCUUGUCCAGCUUUGGAAGAGGUUUAGAGGAAGCGACAAGCCUCCAGCUGAACUGGGUUCUAGCAGGGAUUUUAAUGUUGACAUGAUCCCCAAGUUUAUUAUGGCAAAUGGUGCUCUUGUGCGGGUGCUAAUUCAUACCGAUGUUACGAAAUAUUUAUACUUUAAAGCAGUUGAUGGCAGCUUUGUGUAUAACAAAGGAAAGGUCCACAAGGUGCCAGCUACUGAUAUGGAGGCACUUAAAUCUCCUCUGAUGGGCAUUUUUGAGAAGCGGCGUGCUCGGAAAUUCUUUAUUUAUGUUCAAGAUUAUAAUGAAAGUGAUCCUAAAACACAUGAAGGGAUGGAUCUAACUAGAGUUACAACAAGAGAGCUUAUUGCAAAAUACGGUCUUGAUGACAACACUGUGGACUUCAUUGGUCAUGCAUUGGCACUGCACAGAGAUGACCGCUACUUAGAUGAACCAGCACAGGAUACUGUGAAAAGAAUGAAGCUAUAUGCUGAGUCUCUUGCUCGCUUCCAAGGAGGAUCACCAUAUAUUUAUCCUUUGUAUGGAUUAGGAGAGCUCCCCCAGGUACUACUUUGAGUUCAUGAUUAGAUUUCUUGUCUUCUUUUAGUGAUUUUUUAGUUUCCCUCAUGUUAAUACUUGUACUUUCCAACUUCUUUUUCUUGAAUAUUACUGUUGUUAAUAUCUGUUCUGCUAACUUAGGCAUUCNAAUGCAAGAAAGUUGUAUGCGAUCCUUCCUACUUGCCCAACAAGGUGAGGAAGGUUGGCAAAGUUGCAAGAGCAAUCGCGAUUAUGAGCCACCCAAUUCCAAAUACCAAUGACUCUCACUCUGUGCAGAUUAUCCUACCUCAGAAGCAGUUGGGUCGCAAAUCAGACAUGUACCUGUUCUGCUGUUCUUACACUCAUAAUGUUGCUCCAAAGGGGAAAUUCAUCGCAUUUGUCUCAACAGAGGCAGAAACUGAUAACCCAGAGAGUGAACUGAAGCAGGGCGUCAAUCUUCUAGGGCCAGUGGAUGAGAUCUUCUAUGAAACUUAUGACAGAUCUGAACCUGUCAAUGAGCCCUCCUUGGACAAUUGUUUUAUUUCAACUAGCUAUGAUGCCACAACUCACUUUGAGUCGACUGUAGAUGAUGUGCUCAAUUUGUACACCAAAAUAACUGGAAAGGUUCUUGACCUCAAUGUGGAUCUAAGUGCUGCUAGUGCCGCCGAAGAAUGAGAAAUUCCUUACUGCUGUACUUGCACACUAUGUGAUGCUGAAUCCUUUGUGUCAACGAGAUUCUCAUGCUUUUGCUGUAGAAGUGGAUUAAUUUAUAAUGGGUUCUCUGUUAUAACUAUUGUUAAAAUGUUUGUUUCUUCUAUUGAACAAGCUUAUGUAAUGUUGAAAUUAGUCACGGUUCUUCAACUUGGAGGUGCACGUAGAGUUCAGAUGUUUAAAGUUGUUAUUGACUUCUGGCUCCUUGAAGUUAUGGAAUUUCUCUCGAGUUGCUAUGGUUUUCUGAUUCAA
Molecule: non-coding RNA, 1839 nt
Organism: Nicotiana tabacum (common tobacco)
Lineage: Eukaryota; Viridiplantae; Streptophyta; Magnoliopsida; Solanales; Solanaceae
Source: RefSeq, a predicted model, not a curated record